CUUCUCCGACCUCCGGGAAUCUCUUCUCCACUUCUCCCUCCGUUGCUACUUGUUGGAUUCUCUGGUAUUUAUUUGUUGAAUUGUUGAUCUUGUUUGUUGUUUCUACUGUUCUACAUAUUAUUUGGGUCUGAUUGUGAUAGUCAUCAUCAUACAUUCACUUUGUUUUAUAUUCCCCAUGACAUGGCCUCACUGCACAAAACCUGUGUUGUUGUUGGACCUUAUCUGCCAAACCAUGGCCAAACAUGGUGUAGAUUUAUGAGAUAUCUGCUGGAAAAAAAUUAUAUCAGAGUUACUUGGCUUAUUUACACAUCCAGUUAAAAAACAGAAUUGAAGAAAAGAAACGAUAACAUAUUGGUAGUGAUUAAAAUUGGUUCAAUGGUCUACUACUAAUGUCUAAUAGUGAUCAUUUGGUUGAUAAAAUUCAAAUUUCACAUCAACAUUACCAGACUUUUCCCCAGUAUCAUUGUAAGUGAUGUUUGUUAUUCCCCUGUACAUAGGAGUACAACCUGUACUCCUCUUCGUAAUUCCGAUAUUCUGGUUUUACUUGUUUGACAGGAACUAUCACAGAGUAAAUAGUUCCAAGAUCCAUAUCCUUAUACUGAAAGAUCUCAAUCAUGAUUUAUUUGCCGUAUUGAUUGAUGAAUCUAGAGAUAUAUCAAUUAAAGAACAAAUGGUUGUGGUUAUUCGAUAUGUGGACAAGAAGGGAUGUGUAAUGGAGCGUUAUUUAGCAGUUGUUCAUGUGCCAGAAACUAAUGCGUUGACUCUAAAAAAGGCUCUUGAUGCUUUAUUCUGCAAACAUAAUUUAAGUAUUACCAAUUUACGAGGUCAAGGAUAUGACGGCGCGAGUAAUAUGUCUGGAGAUAUAAAUGGUUUAAAAUCAUUGAUUCUUAAAGAAAAUAAUUCUUCUUUUUAUAUUCAUUGUUUUGCACAUCAAUUACAGUUGACAAUUGUUGCUGCUGCUAAAAGUGAUAAGAAGAUUGUGACUUUUUUUAAUACAGUUGCAAAUAUAACUAAUAUUGUUGUAGUAUCUUGCAAGCGUCGAAAUGUCCUUCGAGAAAAAUAAGUUGAUAGUAUUGCAAAAGCAUUGGAUAUGGAAGAGUUAAAUACUGGACAAGGAAAAAAAUCAAGAAACAACUUUGAAGCGAGCUGGAGAUACGAGAUGGGGUUCUCAUUAUAGUACAAUAUGCAGUUUAAUUCUUAUGUUUUCAUCAGUGAUGAAGGUUCUAGAAGUUGUUUCUGAUGAUGUCAAACUUGUAGAACAAAGUGCUUCUGCAGAAAUAUUGUUAGAUGCCAUGAAACAAUUUGAUUUCAUUUUCUAUUUAAAUUUAAUGGAAGCAAUUCUUGCAAUUACAGAUGAUUUGUCUCAAGCAUUGCAAAGAAAAGAUCAAGACAUAAAUAAUGCAAUGCGAUUAGUAACAGUUUCGAAGCAAAGACUUGCGAGAUAAUGGAUGGGAAGAUUUACUUUCAAAUAUUUGUUCUUUAUGUGCAAAAAAUGAUAUAACAGUGCUAUCAAUUCAAUGGAUGAAAUAUAUGUACCUUAUGGCCGAAAAGGAAGAAACAUAGAAAAAAUUACAAGUCUUCACUAUUACAAGAUUGAUCGUUUCUUCUAUAUGAUCGAUAUACAAAUUCAUGAACUUAAUAAUCGAUUUACUGAGACUAACACAGAGU
RNAcentral lists this long non-coding RNA (1668 nucleotides) under Zostera marina. RNAcentral describes it as "long non-coding RNA (ZMAR_LNC000512)". Lineage: Eukaryota; Viridiplantae; Streptophyta; Magnoliopsida; Alismatales; Zosteraceae. The record is from RNAcentral.